UACAGAGGUCCCAAGCGUUGUUCGGAUUCAUUGGGCGUAAAGGGUGCGUAGGCGGCGCGGUAAGUCGGGUGUGAAAUUUCGAGGCUUAACUUCGAAACUGCAUUCGAUACUGCCGUGCUAGAGGACUGGAGAGGAGACUGGAAUUUACGGUGUAGCGGUGAAAUGCGUAGAUAUCGUAAGGAAGACCAGUGGCGAAGGCGGGUCUCUGGACAGUUCCUGACGCUGAGGCACGAAGGCCAGGGGAGCAAACGGG
This 253-nucleotide ribosomal RNA is filed under the name uncultured bacterium. Its description in RNAcentral is "partial 16S ribosomal RNA". It matches the Rfam family "Bacterial small subunit ribosomal RNA", at positions 524 to 776 of the family's 1533-position model. The record is from RNAcentral.